CCUACGGGAGGCAGCAGUGAGGAAUAUUGGUCAAUGGACGAGAGUCUGAACCAGCCAAGUAGCGUGAAGGAUGACUGCCCUAUGGGUUGUAAACUUCUUUUAUAAAGGAAUAAAACGCGGCACGUGUGCCUUUUUGCAUGUACUUUAUGAAUAAUGAUCGUCUAACUCCGUGCCAGCAGCCGCGGUAAUACGGAGGAUCCGAGCGUUAUCCGGAUUUAUUGGGUUUAAAGGGAGCAUAGAUGGGUGGUUAAGUCAGUUGUGAAAGUUUGCGGCUCAACCGUAAAAUUGCAAUUGAUACUGGCAGUCUGGAGUACAGUAGAGGUAGGCGGAAUUCGUGGUGUAGCGGUGAAAUGCUUAGAUAUCACGAAGAACCCCGAUUGCGAAGGCAGCUUACUAAACUGUGACUGACAUUGAUGCUCGAAAGUGUGGGUAUCAAACAGGAUUAGAUACCCGUGUAGUC
RNAcentral lists this ribosomal RNA (460 nucleotides) under uncultured bacterium. RNAcentral's name for it is "partial 16S ribosomal RNA". It matches the Rfam family "Bacterial small subunit ribosomal RNA", at positions 338 to 795 of the family's 1533-position model. The record is from RNAcentral.